UAUCUAAAUUUUCUUAUUUUCUUACAUUCUUGCAUCUAAUUUCUACACUUAGCUUAAAUCACUUACUACACAUAACUUGCUUAUUAUUACUUAAUCCUUAUGGUUCUAAAUUUAACUUCAAAAUUUUAAAAAUCUAAUUCACCCCCCUUCUUGGGUUGCAUAGCUGGACAACACCAGGUAAGUGAGAUCGGUGAGAGAGAUAUGCCAUUAACUCGUCAUAGACUCAACUAUACGAGUAGCUCCCAAUUAAUGACCACCGAUCAAGACUGCCAAACUUACCUUAGACACCA
This 290-nucleotide long non-coding RNA is filed under the name Elaeis guineensis (African oil palm). Its description in RNAcentral is "long non-coding RNA (EGUI_LNC003165)". The record is from RNAcentral. Lineage: Eukaryota; Viridiplantae; Streptophyta; Magnoliopsida; Arecales; Arecaceae.